AUUUCUUCGGAAUGAAGUUUUUGUGACUGAGUGGCGGACGGGUGAGUAACGCGUGGGUAACCUGCCUCAUACAGGGGGAUAACAGUUGGAAACGACUGCUAAUACCGCAUAAGCGCACAGCUUCGCAUGAAGCAGUGUGAAAAACUCCGGUGGUACAAGAUGGACCCGCGUCUGAUUAGCUGGUUGGUGAGGUAACGGCCCACCAAAGCGACGAUCAGUAGCCGACCUGAGAGGGUGACCGGCCACAUUGGGACUGAGACACGGCCCAAACUCC
This 274-nucleotide ribosomal RNA is filed under the name uncultured Lachnospiraceae bacterium. Its description in RNAcentral is "partial 16S ribosomal RNA". It matches the Rfam family "Bacterial small subunit ribosomal RNA", at positions 72 to 339 of the family's 1533-position model. The record is from RNAcentral. Lineage: Bacteria; Bacillati; Bacillota; Clostridia; Lachnospirales; Lachnospiraceae.